This is a long non-coding RNA of Dermacentor silvarum, 885 nucleotides long. RefSeq lists it as uncharacterized. Lineage: Eukaryota; Metazoa; Arthropoda; Arachnida; Ixodida; Ixodidae. The transcript has 9 exons. The record is from RefSeq and is a predicted model, not a curated record.
AGGAGAUGAAGCCGGGUGACGCAGACCCAAGAAGCCAGUCUGUAAGCGUCGGCCCCCAUGGCUCCACAAAGGAACGAAUGUGGUGAUGGAUGACUGCUGGGUCACUCUACAACGUGCGGAAAGCCGGAAAGCAGCACCGACGUCGCUCGCACGAGUCCGCCUUAUGACGUUCCCGUUUUUCGAGGAGUGCGAAGGGAUGUUCUCCUUCCUGCUCCGCUUCCAAAUGAAGGAGAAUUGUGGACCGCUUGACGACGUGCACACGUGUGGACGGUGAUGGAGCAGACAAUGGUGGACACUCGUCGUUCCUGAAAAGGACAUUUGUAGGGCAGCUCUACAACGUGCCGACAGCGAGUGGUACGCUGCAAUGAGCGUGGCGACGACUCCGGUGGGCAGUCGACAUUCUCGGAUAGGAUCUUUAAAGGACUACAUGACUGUCUUGAAGAAAGUCACCAGCCCUCAACGACGUGAUGUUCUGAGCUAGGGAGGAAGGCUGGACAUUGUGCUUGAGGCUGCCUCGUGACGUUUGCCGAGGAGCUCGUGAAGGAGAAGGACCGCAAGACGGCUUCCCGACCUUCGAGACAAAUGCCACAUCGCCGAUGAAUGAGUAGUGUCCCUGUGGGCCGCUGUACAACGUGCAUGGAAAUCCACGAUGCGGCGAUGGCGCAGACAUCGGCUGGCAGUUGAAGUUUUCGGAGAGCUUGAGCCUGCGAUGUGACGUUCGUGGAGGCCCUCCUGCAUGUUGACCCCUUACAGCCGUCAUGGCUGUGCUUACUGGGAUGCUUGUUGGGCCGCUCUACAACAUGCAGGAAGAUGCUGUAAUGACGGUGACGGCGACACCGGGGGUUAGCGGGCGUUCUCGGAGACUUCUUUGCAUUGAUAUUUGUG